This is a long non-coding RNA of Phragmites australis (common reed), 655 nucleotides long. RefSeq lists it as uncharacterized. The transcript has 3 exons. The record is from RefSeq and is a predicted model, not a curated record. Lineage: Eukaryota; Viridiplantae; Streptophyta; Magnoliopsida; Poales; Poaceae.
CAAGAUCAAAUUAUUGAAUUAUAAAUUAUAUUACAGCCUUCCAGAUCAAGUAGAACCUUUGGAAAAAUUGGAAUUACAUGGUGACCACAACAUGCAACAUAAGUCCAAAAGAAAACUUCAUUGCAAUUGAAAAAUGUAUCUUUUUGACAAAGCGGGAUUGAGAUUUGAAUGCAUAAUAACAGUCACAAGGCUUUCACUACAUAAAUGUACAAAGAUGACUGUGUUUGCACUGAAAUAGAUUACAGGUACAAACUGUGUCUAAUAGCCAGUGACAACUCCUAUGAACUUGGGUUUGUUCUUUUUUAUCACGUAGCACAGAAACUUAUUGGGAAGGCCACACAAAAAUUUCAAAGUAUGUAUGAAAAGUAUGAGACUCCAAACGAAAUAUCUAUCUUAGUGGGCCAAAAGUUCAGAUUUAUUGUUAAAAUUUCACUUAAGAAGAGUGUCAAGAGUGUUUACAUUGCUGAACAAUUUGGAAAACAAGCAAAAACACCAUCGUUCAGGAUUGAAGCGCUAGCAACUCAGCGUCUUCAGCUUUCAAUUUAGCUGGAUGCUCAGAAUCAGCCACAGUUAAAAAUCGUAUGGCCCUGUUGUUUGGACCUCUGUCGUAUAAACAUGUUGGUUAUAAUUAUUAUAUGUUCCUACUUUUUUGCAA